Molecule: ribosomal RNA, 457 nt
Filed under: uncultured bacterium
Lineage: Bacteria
Description: bacterial SSU rRNA
Rfam family: Bacterial small subunit ribosomal RNA
Source: RNAcentral
GCACAAGGGUGGAGCAUGUGGUUCAAUUCGAAGCAACGCGCAGAACCUUACCAGCCCUUGACAUCCCGGUCGCGGACACCAGAGACGGUGUCCUUCAGUUCGGCUGGACCGGAGACAGGUGCUGCAUGGCUGUCGUCAGCUCGUGUCGUGAGAUGUUGGGUUAAGUCCCGCAACGAGCGCAACCCUCGCCUUUAGUUGCCAUCAUUCAGUUGGGCACUCUAGAGGGACCGCCGGCGACAAGCCGGAGGAAGGUGGGGAUGACGUCAAGUCCUCAUGGCCCUUACAUCCUGGGCUACACACGUGCUACAAUGGCGGUAACAGUGGGCAGCCAACUCGCGAGAGUGAGCUAAUCCCAAAAAGCCGCCCCAGUUCAGAUUGCACUCUGCAACUCGGGUGCAUGAAGGUGGAAUCGCUAGUAAUCGCAGAACAGCAGGCUGCGGUGAAUACGUUCCCGGGC